AGACUGAUAAGGGGGAGGAAAGUCCGGGCUCCAUAGAGCAGGGUGCCAGGUAACGCCUGGGGGCGCAAGCCUACGACAAGUGCAACAGAGAGCAAACCGCCGAUGGCCUCUCCUUCGGGAUGGGAUCAGGUAAGGGUGAAAGGGUGCGGUAAGAGCGCACCGUGCGACUGGCAACAGUUCGUAGCAGGGUAAACUCCACCCGGAGCAAGACCAAAUAGGCCUCCACAUAGCGUUGCUCGCGUUAGGAGGCGGGUAGGUUGCUUGAGCCAGUGAGUGAUUGCUGGCCUAGAGGAAUGGCUACUACCGCGCAAGCGGAACAGAACCCGGCUUAUACGUCGACUCCACCU
Molecule: RNase P RNA, 347 nt
Filed under: Vibrio cholerae
Lineage: Bacteria; Pseudomonadati; Pseudomonadota; Gammaproteobacteria; Vibrionales; Vibrionaceae
Description: bacterial RNase P
Rfam family: Bacterial RNase P class A
About the family: Ribonuclease P (RNase P) is a ubiquitous endoribonuclease, found in archaea, bacteria and eukarya as well as chloroplasts and mitochondria. Its best characterised activity is the generation of mature 5'-ends of tRNAs by cleaving the 5'-leader elements of precursor-tRNAs.
Source: RNAcentral